CGGUAAUUCCAGUAUCCGAGUUGUGGGAUGUUAUUGGGCCUAAAGCAUCCGUARCUGGCUAGGUUAGUCCCAUGUUAAAUCCACCSAAUUAAUMGWUGGAKUGCGGRGGAUACUGCUUGGCUAGGGGACGAGAGAGGCAKACGGUAUUUCCGGGGUAGGGGUGAAAUCCUAUAAUCCCGGGAAGACCACCAGUGGCGAAGGCUGUCUGCUAGAACGCGCCCGACGGUGAGGGAUGAAAGCUGGGGGAGCGAACCGGAUUAGAUACCCGGGUAGUCCCAGCUGUAAACGAUGCAGACUAGGUGUUUGGACGGCCACGUGCCGUUCUAGUGCCGCAGGGAAGCUGUUAAGUCUGCCGCCUGGGGAGUACGAUCGCAAGAUUGAAACUUAAAGGAAUUGGCGGGGGAGCACA
RNAcentral lists this ribosomal RNA (409 nucleotides) under uncultured crenarchaeote. RNAcentral describes it as "bacterial SSU rRNA". It matches the Rfam family "Archaeal small subunit ribosomal RNA", at positions 468 to 880 of the family's 1478-position model. Lineage: Archaea; Thermoproteati; Thermoproteota. The record is from RNAcentral.